Long non-coding RNA from Clupea harengus (Atlantic herring), 1258 nucleotides. Lineage: Eukaryota; Metazoa; Chordata; Actinopteri; Clupeiformes; Clupeidae. The record is from Ensembl.
AAAAGAUUACAAAGAUGCGCGAAUGACGGCCAAUUCUGCAGCGGUAGAGCUGGACACUAAAGACUGCGACUGUUUCCUGUUUCAUUCCCUAUAUAUCACAAUACCGCCAUAUUUAAAACCCACAUGAGCGCCAGCAUCUGACAGAGUAGGUGCCAGAGCCCGGCAGGAGCAGACAGCAAUUAAAAUAUUUUGUCCAAACAACCUUUGGACAUAUUCAUUCAUAUCAUAUCAUGAGACAUAUCCAACAGCCUCAUUAGAAUCUGCAUCGACAAUGAUGCCAUCUGACAGAAAUAGCCUAUCUCCAUACAGUUCAUUUCUUUUAAACUUGCUUUAUGAUGCAUUUGCCGCCUGUAAUCACGUUGUGACAGCUAGGAUACAAACAAAUUCCCGCAACAGGAAGAAGGCUGUUAUCCUAAAUGUGAAGUUAUUUUAUUCUCAAAAAACGCCCGACAGCAAGUAAAAUAUUUAGUCGCUCACACAAACAAGCCCCGUUAAUCUCACAAGCGCGCACAAGAGGGAGAUAAGCAUAUUGAAAUAAAAUUAUUCACAUUGCAAGAUCGGAAUGAAAUGGCCUACACAUUACACACGCUAGGCAUCUGUAUAUGCCUAAAUAAAACUCACGUUAUAUGCUACACCAGAAGAGGCACGAAUAAAACAAGUCUUACCAUUGAAGAUCAGUUUUUUAAGUACAUGGCCACAUUCGUUAUAAAACUAUCUACAUAGUCCAACCAUCGAGGUUUAAUCCAUGUUGUUGUGGAGAAAGAAGAUGGCAUCAAUCAUAUUUCAUUAAAGCUUCACACUUCUUACAUUGGACAUAUCAAACAGCCUCAUUAGAAUCCACAUCGACUAUGAAGUCUUCCGACAGAAAUAUCUCCAUACAGUACAUUUCCCCUCAUUAAGUGUCGUUUUAAACUCUCCAGAUGACAGUUUCUUUUUUAAAAAAAAAAACGUUAAGUGCACAAAGUGAUUUAAUUUACUCUCAAAAACGAACUUCUGCAUUAUAUGAAGCAAACAUGUUCCAGUGUUGGGAAAGUUCACUUUCUACAUGAACUAGUUCAGUUCAUAGUUCACAAAUUUUAGAAUGAACUAGUUCAGUUCAUAGUUUAUAAUUCAAGAUUUAGAACUAAGUUCACAGCUCCAAAAAAUGGAGUUCUUUUUUUCAAUAUGCUGCGAGUUAUAAUUUUUCUGCAAUACCGCUCUCGGCCUCUACGCAACUCGGCGCACACACAUUGUACUUGCUUAAAACACACAGCUGUCA